AAAUUGAAGAGUUUGAUCAUGGCUCAGAUUGAACGCUGGCGGCAGGCCUAACACAUGCAAGUCGAACGGUAACAGGAAGCAGCUUGCUGCUUCGCUGACGAGUGGCGGACGGGUGAGUAAUGUCUGGGAAACUGCCUGAUGGAGGGGGAUAACUACUGGAAACGGUGGCUAAUACCGCAUAACGUCGCAAGACCAAAGAGGGGGACCUUCGGGCCUCUUGCCAUCAGAUGUGCCCAGAUGGGAUUAGCUGGUUGGUGAGGUAACGGCUCACCAAGGCGACGAUCCCUAGCUGGUCUGAGAGGAUGACCAGCCACACUGGAACUGAGACACGGUCCAGACUCCUACGGGAGGCAGCAGUGGGGAAUAUUGCACAAUGGGCGCAAGCCUGAUGCAGCCAUGCCGCGUGUAUGAAGAAGGCCUUCGGGUUGUAAAGUACUUUCAGCGGGGAGGAAGGUGUUG
Molecule: ribosomal RNA, 459 nt
Filed under: Salmonella enterica subsp. enterica serovar Derby
Lineage: Bacteria; Pseudomonadati; Pseudomonadota; Gammaproteobacteria; Enterobacterales; Enterobacteriaceae
Also listed under: 8 other names
Description: partial 16S ribosomal RNA
Rfam family: Bacterial small subunit ribosomal RNA
Source: RNAcentral